AUUGGGACAGGCAUUGGAAGGCUCAUGUGAAAUCAUUCCAUUUCAUAUUCAAAAGGGCUCCAGUCCUCUUGAUCUUUGAUGUAUCCUAGCAACAGCUAUUUCAAUUUAGAGAGGAUGGGAAGGGCCACUGGUGUUGCCAAGGUUACCAGUAUUUCCUGCUGUCAUCGGAGGAAGUAACCUGUGUGUCGGAUCACAAUGGAAUUAGAUGCCCUGACACCUAUGCUGCCUGUCUCUUGAAUACCCAGAUAAUGAGAGACUCUUCCAUAUCAAAAAGUUUUACCAAACUGUC
This is a long non-coding RNA of Hyaena hyaena (striped hyena), 289 nucleotides long. RefSeq lists it as uncharacterized. The transcript is spliced from 2 exons. NCBI's taxonomy places the organism in Eukaryota, Metazoa, Chordata, Mammalia, Carnivora, Hyaenidae. The record is from RefSeq and is a predicted model, not a curated record.